GAAAAUAGAGGGAAGAAACUUUUCCUUCUCUCUGUAAGUAGAGAGUGAUAUCUUUGAACCUUUACGCGAGACAAACGAAUUACUGUGAGAGUACAGAACUCCAUUCUGUGCCAAUUGCUGCAAAGACCCAUCGCUUACUGUACGAAGGCCCAAUGACCACCCAGUCAUUGUUCCUCAAACCACAAAAUAACAGCAACAAUCAUCUCUUUCUUCCUUCUAAAAACCCUUUCAUUCACUAU
RNAcentral lists this unclassified non-coding RNA (239 nucleotides) under Hevea brasiliensis (rubber tree). The record is from RNAcentral. Lineage: Eukaryota; Viridiplantae; Streptophyta; Magnoliopsida; Malpighiales; Euphorbiaceae.